GGAAAUUUGCUAGCAGGACUCUCUUGCUCUGCUGAGAGGCAUUUCUGAGAUGAAAGAAGUGGGCCCUGCCAUUGAACAGAAUUUAUGCAUUUAAAUAUUCAUCAUUUCUGUGAAAAAGAGAAGAAAAAUUAGGUGAUGACGUCAGUCCGUGCUUCGGAAAUAGUCGUUUGCCAGGGAAGACGGCUCAACCAGCAAACACCUAAAGGGCUUUUGAAACUCUCUAAAUACAAGUUUUUAGAAACGACGAGGCAUUGAAAACUUACCACAUGACCUUGUGCAAGUUGCUUAACACCACUAAGCCGCCGUGUCUUCUCAGUUUUAAUCGGGGAUAAUACUGCAUCCUCUUAAAGAGUUUUUUUGAGAGGAUUUGAUGAGAAACUCUAUGUAAGUCACUUAGUAUGCUGCCUGGAAUGUAGCAAGAACUUGAUCGAUGAUUAACUAUUAUGGAAGUUUUUUUGUUUUAUUUU
RNAcentral lists this long non-coding RNA (467 nucleotides) under Pan troglodytes (chimpanzee). RNAcentral describes it as "lincRNA". The record is from RNAcentral. Lineage: Eukaryota; Metazoa; Chordata; Mammalia; Primates; Hominidae.